RNAcentral lists this ribosomal RNA (467 nucleotides) under uncultured bacterium. Its description in RNAcentral is "partial 16S ribosomal RNA". It matches the Rfam family "Bacterial small subunit ribosomal RNA", at positions 28 to 507 of the family's 1533-position model. The record is from RNAcentral.
GACGAACGCUGGCGGCGUGCUUAACACAUGCAAGUCGAACGGAAAGGCCUCAGCUUGCUGGGGUACUCGAGUGGCGAACGGGUGAGUAACACGUGGGUGAUCUGCCUUGCACUCUGGGAUAAGCUUGGGAAACUGGGUCUAAUACCGGAUAUGAACUGCCUUUAGUGUGGUGGUUGGAAAGUUUUUUCGGUGCAAGAUGAGCUCGCGGCCUAUCAGCUUGUUGGUGGGGUAAUGGCCUACUAAGGCGUCGACGGGUAGCCGGCCUGAGAGGGUGUACGGCCACAUUGGGACUGAGAUACGGCCCAGACUCCUACGGGAGGCAGCAGUGGGGAAUAUUGCACAAUGGGCGGAAGCCUGAUGCAGCGACGCCGCGUGGGGGAUGACGGCCUUCGGGUUGUAAACUCCUUUCGACAGGGACGAAGCUUUUUGUGACGGUACCUGUAUAAGAAGCACCGGCUAACUACGUG